UCUGCCCGUCCCUCACCUGAGCCCUCAAGCCAGUCAAGUCACACACCUCGCCUCCCCACGCUGAGCAAACAGGCAGCUGGUGAAGUCAUGUUUAGCAUGGGAGCGGCAAGGAGGGAAGUCGCUGAGAUUAAGCCGGGAAGCCUUCUCAGCGGGCAGGCGGCCCGAGGGGGCAGCCCAGGAGAAGCAGGGCCCCCUCCCCUCGGUCAUCCCAGACUCCCUCGGCAGGUAGGGCAGCUGAGUCACAGCACCAGGCACCCAGGGGUGGCGAGGGAGCAGACGGGCCCGCG
Molecule: non-coding RNA, 287 nt
Organism: Struthio camelus australis
Lineage: Eukaryota; Metazoa; Chordata; Aves; Struthioniformes; Struthionidae
Source: RefSeq, a predicted model, not a curated record